CCUACGGGGCGCAGCAGUGGGGAAUAUUGGACAAUGGGCGAAAGCCUGAUCCAGCCAUGCCGCGUGUGUGAAGAAGGCCUUCGGGUUGUAAAGCACUUUCAGUGGGGAAGAAAGCCUUGGGGCUAAUACCCUCGAGGAAGGACAUCACCCACAGAAGAAGCACCGGCUAACUCCGUGCCAGCAGCCGCGGUAGUACGGAGGGUGCGAGCGUUAAUCGGAAUUACUGGGCGUAAAGCGCGCGUAGGCGGUCUGAUAAGCCGGUUGUGAAAGCCCCGGGCUCAACCUGGGAACGGCAUCCGGAACUGUCAGGCUAGAGUGCAGGAGAGGAAGGUAGAAUUCCCGGUGUAGCGGUGAAAUGCGUAGAGAUCGGGAGGAAUACCAGUGGCGAAGGCGGCCUUCUGGACUGACACUGACGCUGAGGUGCGAAAGCGUGGGUAGCAAACAGGAUUAGAUACCCUGGUAGUC
Molecule: ribosomal RNA, 465 nt
Filed under: Vreelandella stevensii
Lineage: Bacteria; Pseudomonadati; Pseudomonadota; Gammaproteobacteria; Oceanospirillales; Halomonadaceae
Description: partial 16S ribosomal RNA
Rfam family: Bacterial small subunit ribosomal RNA
Source: RNAcentral